RNAcentral lists this ribosomal RNA (549 nucleotides) under uncultured bacterium. Its description in RNAcentral is "bacterial SSU rRNA". It matches the Rfam family "Bacterial small subunit ribosomal RNA", at positions 355 to 896 of the family's 1533-position model. The record is from RNAcentral.
UAGGGAAUCUUCGGCAAUGGACGGAAGUCUGACCGAGCAACGCCGCGUGAGUGAAGAAGGUUUUCGGAUCGUAAAGCUCUGUUGUAAGAGAAGAACGAGUGUGAGAGUGGAAAGUUCACACUGUGACGGUAUCUUACCAGAAAGGGACGGCUAACUACGUGCCAGCAGCCGCGGUAAUACGUAGGUCCCGAGCGUUGUCCGGAUUUAUUGGGCGUAAAGCGAGCGCAGGCGGUUAGAUAAGUCUGAAGUUAAAGGCUGUGGCUUAACCAUAGUACGCUUUGGAAACUGUUUAACUUGAGUGCAAGAGGGGAGAGUGGAAUUCCAUGUGUAGCGGUGAAAUGCGUAGAUAUAUGGAGGAACACCGGUGGCGAAAGCGGCUCUCUGGUCUGUAACUGACGCUGGGGCUCGAAAGCGUGGGGAGCGAACAGGAUUAGAUACCCUGGUAGUCCACGCCGUNNCGAUGAGUGCUAGGUGUUAGGUCCUUUCCGGGACUUAGUGCCGCAGCUAACGCAUUAAGCACUCCGCCUGGGGAGUACGACCGCAAGGNUG